GGGAAAUACAGCUUUAAAUUACAGAUUGUACCCAGAGCACUUUAUAAACGGUUAUGUGUGAUAAUGUAUUAUCCUUACUUCUGUGAAAUUGUGGACUGCAACUUCUGUCGGGGCCAGUUAAAGGGCCAGGAGAUGGAGAGGGUUGCGUGAAUGCCAUUCAAGAAAAGGGCAACAGAGGCUAAGGGGUUAAACUCCCCAGAAAACCAAUUUAUGCAAAGGGCUGGAUCCUGACCGGCAUUCUGCACUAACGAUCUGAAUUACAAAUUUAGAGAAUUUGCUGCUCGACAACGAAUGCAGGAAGGACCUCACUGGCUGCUGGGAACAACUGCCCUUUUGAAUGAAUUCUUUUAUGGUUACCAGUCAAAAAGUCACCGUCAGCUGGAACUGGAAGGGAGGUGUGUGUGGGUGUGUGUGUGUGUGCGUGUGUACGCGCAGUGGCAGCCAUUUCAGCUCAAUAGCUCCAUUCCUGGAAAGGCCACUUCUUCUUGACAUGGGAGAAGAC
RNAcentral lists this long non-coding RNA (502 nucleotides) under Pan troglodytes (chimpanzee). RNAcentral's name for it is "long non-coding RNA NONPTRT008997". Lineage: Eukaryota; Metazoa; Chordata; Mammalia; Primates; Hominidae. The record is from RNAcentral.